Molecule: small nuclear RNA, 117 nt
Filed under: Plicaturopsis crispa FD-325 SS-3
Lineage: Eukaryota; Fungi; Basidiomycota; Agaricomycetes; Amylocorticiales; Amylocorticiaceae
Description: U5 spliceosomal RNA
Rfam family: U5 spliceosomal RNA
About the family: U5 RNA is a component of both types of known spliceosome. The precise function of this molecule is unknown, though it is known that the 5' loop is required for splice site selection and p220 binding, and that both the 3' stem-loop and the Sm site are important for Sm protein binding and cap methylation.
Source: Rfam by way of RNAcentral
GGGUGGAGGACAAGGUUCAAUCAGACACAGCCCUCGCCUUUUACUAGGGCUGUCCGUGGACCUUGUUCAUACAAUUCACCCUUACCAAUUUUUCAGCAUCCAGCUCGUCUCUGGGAA